Molecule: ribosomal RNA, 497 nt
Filed under: uncultured bacterium
Lineage: Bacteria
Description: partial 16S ribosomal RNA
Rfam family: Bacterial small subunit ribosomal RNA
Source: RNAcentral
GAUGAACGCUGGCGGCGUGCCUAAUACAUGCCAGUCGAGCGAACAGACGAGGAGCUUGCUCCUCUGACGUUAGCGGCGGACGGGUGAGUAACACGUGGAUAACCUACCUAUAAGACUGGGAUAACUUCGGGAAACCGGAGCUAAUACCGGAUAAUAUAUUGAACCGCAUGGUUCAAUAGUGAAAGACGGUUUUGCUGUCACUUAUAGAUGGAUCCGCGCCGCAUUAGCUAGUUGGUAAGGUAACGGCUUACCAAGGCAAUGAUGCGUAGCCGACCUGAGAGGGUGAUCGGCCACACUGGAACUGAGACACGGUCCAGACUCCUACGGGAGGCAGCAGUAGGGAAUCUUCCGCAAUGGGCGAAAGCCUGACGGAGCAACGCCGCGUGAGUGAUGAAGGUCUUCGGAUCGUAAAACUCUGUUAAUAGGGAAGAACAAAUGUGUAAGUAACUAUGCACGUCUUGACGGUACCUAAUCAGAAAGCCACGGCUAACUACGUG